This 471-nucleotide ribosomal RNA is filed under the name uncultured bacterium. RNAcentral describes it as "SSU rRNA". It matches the Rfam family "Bacterial small subunit ribosomal RNA", at positions 26 to 507 of the family's 1533-position model. The record is from RNAcentral.
AGGAUGAACGCUGGCGGCGUGCCUAACACAUGCAAGUCGAACGCGCUCCAUUCGGUAGCAAUACUGAUGAAGAGUGAGUGGCGAACGGGUGAGUAACACAUGAGCAACCUGCCCCGAAGACCGGGACAACACCGGGAAACCGGUGCUAAUACCGGAUAUCCCUAUCGGACCGCAUGAUCUGAUAAGGAAAUGGAUUCCGCUUCGGGAGGGGCUCGUGGCCUAUCAGCUAGUUGGUGAGGUAAUAGCUCACCAAGGCAUCGACGGGUAGCUGGUCUGAGAGGACGAUCAGCCACACUGGGACUGAGACACGGCCCAGACUCCUACGGGAGGCAGCAGUGGGGAAUCUUGCGCAAUGGGCGAAAGCCUGACGCAGCAACGCCGCGUGGAGGACGAAUGCUUUCUGAGUUGUAAACUCCUUUCAGCAGGGACGAUUGUGACGGUACCUGCAGAAGAGCACCGGCCAACUACGUG